GUCAUGCAGGGUGUGUUCCCCUCCCCCUCCGUCUGCAGGGGGGGGCUGCCCUAACCCUUGAACAAAGGCCGGAAGUGGUAAGCAAACUGCUGCACGAAGCGAAUGCCUUUCAAUCAAACUAGGGCUCGCCAGGCAAGAUCUCCCUUAAAAGGAAACGCCCAGAGAAAGGCGUUCCUGCCGUCCUGGUUCUGGUGGGCAAGGCGCAGGAAACGUGGGGACAACAUGCAAUGGGCGCCGAGAAACAGGCCGGCGGCUUCCGGCAACGCGCCGCGGGGACCCUCGGGGAUACCCAGGGCCCGAUCCGCCUGGCACGUGCGGCGUCUGCUCGCUCCUCGGCCCCGGAGCGGCCGCGUGGCCUCCAAGGUUGGACAAAGAUGACAGCCUAGUUACGUCCCCAACGCGCCUUGAUCCCCGACCCCAGGGUCGCAGGGCGAGCCGCACCCUUCGCCGCCGCCAUCUUGUUGUUUUCUUCCCGCCGGGCCACGUGACGCGUCCCUGCGGAAGCCCAGGCUCCCCCACCGCCCCAACUUCCGGCCAGACCGGUUCCAGCCGGCCCCUGCCUGCAGACGCGCAGCUGCCCCCUAGCGGCCGGUCACUUCCGGCCCCGCCCUGCCGGCCGCCAUUUCCCUCCCCGGCGGCCGCACGUCAGCGCCCUGCAGCACGUCUGCGCCGUAGCGCGGCCCGCCCCGGCCUGCGCGCCCACGUUUUCUGUCGCGUUCACCGUGACCCCUGUGAAAGGAGCCUGGGUCCCUGAAAGAUUGCUGGACUGGGUCCUUUCUCAUGCCCUCUGACAACAGGACAUGGAAGACAGGGUCAAACCCGCAACCUUGGCGCAUCGGGACAAUGCUCCAACCAGCUGAGCUACCCAGCCAGAGCUCAGCCUCCUCUUUGAAACGUUGAAGCCAGUGGGCUUCCUAACGAGACAAAGUGUCCUGUCAUUGUUCCUGAAAACAUGGAGCAAUGGUUGGAGGAAGUGGGUCAUCUUGAACUUCAUGAAAUGUGUUCAUCCUUGGGGCUCGACGGAGGGGGGCAGAGAAGGGGGCGCAUAAGGGGCACCUGUAAUACUGUCAACAACACAUACAAUAAAAAUAACUAAACAAAUAAAUGUGUUCGUUCUUUGCGAUUUGGAAGAGCAAGAAGUAUUUUGGAAUAGUGCUAUAGGUUCACCGAGGAGCCAGGAAGUUUGGGAGGAGAGAGGUCAGGGCAGAACACGGGCAUUUUCCUUUCAAGGAUCCGGUGGUAACGUUGCAGGGAUGAUUGCUUUUGGAUCUUUGCCACGAGAUGUGUUUACUGCGCAGGAACAGUCCCUCAAGGCAGAGAUAGUAUCUGCGCAGGGCAUUCCAAGAGCAGCAGAAACAGGCCGGCUCACCGAGGAGGCUUGAGCUGGGGAAGGCUGGCUGAUGGGGCAGGAGCGCCGAGAGGAAGGGACGGGCUGGCCCAGAAGGAAGGGCAGAGACCAGGGCUGAGGAUGCUGUGUCACAUGGUACCAUGAGCUGCCAGAGGUGAUGCUGCUAAGAAAUUCUUCACGGGGAUGAGAGCUGCAGCAGAAGGUCCCUCAACCAUUCGGAGGGACUGAGGAGUGGGGCCUGGGAGACCCCUUCUGGGGAGGCAGCGUCCCCUCUUCUGUCCAUUCAGGAAGAUGCUCAGCCCCGCUUUUGCACAGGUCAGCCACUCACCACUCAGCAGAGAACUUGAAAAGCAGCCAUAAAAGAGACAUCGAGGAUUUUGUGGGCCGUAAACCUCCAAGAUGAAUUUUCCUAUCACGUUUUACGAGCAUGAGUUGUAAAGCCUUCAGGAUGCCGGGCUGCCCCUCCGCGGUGCCCACAAGCGUCCUCCGGAAGUGAUGAUUGGUGUUAGCUCAGCCAGAGACCUUGGAUGAUGCAGGCACCGCGCCUUAGCCCACGGAGCUGGUAGAGAAAUGAGCUGGAACGCAACGCUGUGGAUCUUGCACAUUCCAUCUGCCCACCAGGAUGCAGUCUGAGGUGGAAGCAGUGAUGCUUUAAGAACUGGACUUCUCGGCGUUCCCUGGGAGAGAGAGCAUUGACUUGGUCUGUCUGCUGCUGGAGAAGAGAACUGUGAGGUCAGGUCCUGGGUGUCACUUGCUCAGUACUCUACCUCUGGGACCUGCGUUCGCAUCAAAUUGCAAGAGGCAGCGGUGCAUAUAGACUUGGAUGGUCUAGGUUCAAAUCUCAGCUCUGCCACUUAUUAGCUGUGUGGCUGUGGGCAAGUCACUCAACCUCUCUGUGCUCAGGUUUCCUCAUUAGCAAAUUGGGAGCUGUGGAAGUACCUACCGCAUAGCAUUGCUACAGGGAUACCAAGAGCGCAAACAUCUUAGAACCUUACCAGACACUGUAAAUGGGAGGAAUCUCGAGGCAUGUUCGCUUUUCAUCUUGUUUCCUGACACAGAAUAACAUCUUCUCACAGUGAAAUGAAACCUCCGUGUUCCCCCCCCGCUCCCCGCACCCCAUGCAGCUCAGCCAUAUGGAAACAGCAGUAAACAAAAUCACCAGCGUGUCUCAAACCCGAAGGCAGGACAGUGAAUUGGCAGCAGCCUGAAGGGGAGAGAAGAAACCCAACCUCUUCAGAUCUUAGGAUUUAGCUUCUUAUCUGCUGGAUCCUGGGGGCAGGAUGGAGAAAGAGCCGUAAUGUCUGAUGGCACCAACCACAUCCUGGACCAUACUGCAGACGCCACUGGGCCAACCAGUCGCUGCUCAGAGAGUGCUGUGCCCUCCUUCCCCCCUGGCACGCAGCCCGGCCACAUGCCUGGAGCUUCCGGUUCUUCCUGAACACACAGAAGCACCUUUGUGGUUAUGGGAUCUGGCAACUGCACGUUCAGUUGACCUUCACUUUGACCUGUUGGAGCCAGGCUGCAGCCAGGAAUACUGCUAAUUGACUGCUUUUCAAUCCAACGGCUCAUAUGAGAUGGACCAAGAGCACUUAGCUGUUAUAAACCAGCGUUGAAUUUGGCUUCUUUUCACCUCCAGCCACCGAGUAGCUGUCAGGCGCCACUGACUUCAAGUCUAUUGCUGAGCCUCACAUUUAUUGGAUUUGCCUUUUUUGAUGCGGCAAGCUGCCAUGUCAGAAAAACCCACAUGGUAAGGACCUGUGGCCAGCAGCCUAUGGACAGCUGAGUCUGGCCAUCAGCCACUAAUUGGGCGUGCAAGCAGGCCCUUCUCCAUUCGAGUAUUCAGCAGGUCCAGGAGCGAGCUGUUUAAGGUCAGUGAGUCCUUGUCACGUGUGUUUAUCUGCUUACCCAUUCCACCACUGGAGUGUCCCAUCAGAAUCCAUCCUUGGGGUGAAAGGUGGAACCUGCGGCCCACAGUGUACAAAGUGCUCCAGGAAAGCACUCUGUGGGCCUCACACUAGAACAGCGGUUCUCAACCUGGGGGUCGAACGACCCUUUCACAGGGGUCGCCUAAGACCAUCGGAAAAACACAUAUAUAAUUACAUAUUGUUUUUGUGAUGAAUCACUAUGCUUUCAUUAUGUUCAAUUUGUAACAAUGAAAUUGGGGGUCACCACAACAUGAGGAACUGUAUUAAAGGGUCGCGGCAUCAGGAAGGUUGAGAACCACUGCACUAGAACCUUCACUUACCAUUUAGCUUGCACAUCAGUCAGCCAAGCAGUUACUCCCUGGGGUCUGGAACUUCAGCCUGAGCGGGGGACUAGUCAUGCCCCAGCCGCUGUCCACAGCGAAGUUACGGAUGCCGAAACGCACAUCCCAGCCCGGCUCAUAAGCAGAGGUGCAAAAUGUCUGAAGCCAUGAGUUAAAAAACUUUUGCCAGAAAGGGGGGGAAAUGGGGAGAUACUGAAAUGUCUGCAAUGCAUUGGGCGUCGCGCACCCCACUUCACUGCAGGCCUCAGAGUUCCAGUGGGGGCUUACCUCCAGGUCGCAUAGUCCUGGAUUCUUAGUCUGGCUCAAUCUGGGUCCUACAUCAACUAUUAAAUGAGAACAAGAGAAAUACUUGUCUCCUAAAGGGGUUGUCGGAUGAAAUGUUAGCCCGGCCCUUCUUC
Molecule: long non-coding RNA, 4012 nt
Organism: Myotis daubentonii (Daubenton's bat)
Lineage: Eukaryota; Metazoa; Chordata; Mammalia; Chiroptera; Vespertilionidae
Gene: FAM174B
Exons: 11
Source: RefSeq, a predicted model, not a curated record